Long non-coding RNA from Athene cunicularia (burrowing owl), 119 nucleotides. RefSeq lists it as uncharacterized. The record is from RefSeq and is a predicted model, not a curated record. The transcript is spliced from 3 exons. Lineage: Eukaryota; Metazoa; Chordata; Aves; Strigiformes; Strigidae.
CUCUCUGCUUGUAAGACACAGAAUCAUAGAAUUAUUUAGGUUGGAAAAGACCUUUAAGAUCAUUGAGUCCAACUUUAAACCUAACACUGUUAAAUCUACCGCUAAACCAUGUCCUUAAG